This 245-nucleotide ribosomal RNA is filed under the name uncultured bacterium. RNAcentral describes it as "partial 16S ribosomal RNA". It matches the Rfam family "Bacterial small subunit ribosomal RNA", at positions 15 to 244 of the family's 1533-position model. The record is from RNAcentral.
GAUCCUGCUCAGGACGAACGCUGGCGGCGUGCCUAACACAUGCAAGUCGAACGGAGAAUUUUAUUUCGGUAGAAUUCUUAGUGGCGAACGGGUGAGUAACGCGUAGGCAACCUACCCUUUAGACGGGGACAACAUUCCGAAAGGAGUGCUAAUACCGGAUGUGAUCAUCGUGCCGCAUGGCAGGAUGAAGAAAGAUGGCCUCUACAAGUAAGCUAUCGCUAAAGGAUGGGCCUGCGUCUGAUUAG